CGGCCGGGCAAGUCCGUCGGGAAAUCCAUCAGCUCAACUGAUGGGCGUCCGGCGGAUACUGUCCGGCUUGGGACCGGGAGAUCCGAGGGGUACGUCCGGGGUAGGAGUGAAAUCCCGUAAUCCUGGACGGACCGCCGGUGGCGAAAGCGCCUCGGAAGAACGGAUCCGACGGUGAGGGACGAGAGCUAGGGUCUCGAACCGGAUUAGAUACCCGGGUAGUCCUAGCCGUAAACGAUGCCCGCUAGGUGUGGCGCAGGCUACGAGCCUGCGCUGUGCCGUAGGGAAGCCGUGAAGCGAGCCGCCUGGGAA
RNAcentral lists this ribosomal RNA (309 nucleotides) under uncultured archaeon. RNAcentral's name for it is "bacterial SSU rRNA". It matches the Rfam family "Archaeal small subunit ribosomal RNA", at positions 526 to 834 of the family's 1478-position model. The record is from RNAcentral.